Molecule: ribosomal RNA, 512 nt
Filed under: uncultured bacterium
Lineage: Bacteria
Description: bacterial SSU rRNA
Rfam family: Bacterial small subunit ribosomal RNA
Source: RNAcentral
UAGUCCACGCCGUAAACGAUGUGCACUAGAGGUUGCGGGUAUUGACCCCUGCAGUCUCAAAGCUAACGCAUUAAGUGCACCGCCUGGGGAGUACGGUCGCAAGAUUAAAACUCAAAGGAAUUGACGGGGGCCCGCACAAGCGGUGGAUUAUGUGGUUUAAUUCGAAGCAACGCGCAGAACCUUACCUAGACUUGAAAUCCUGAGAACUUUUUAGAAAUAAGUUGGUGCCCUUCGGGGAACUCAGUGACAGGUGCUGCAUGGCUGUCGUCAGCUCGUGUUGUGAAAUGUUGGGUUAAGUCUCGCAACGAGCGCAACCCCUAUCGUCUGUUGCCAGCAUUAAGUUGGGCACUCUGACGAGACUGCCCGGGUUAACCGGGAGGAAGGUGGGGAUGACGUCAAGUCCUCAUGGCCCUUAUGUCUAGGGCUACACACGUAAUACAAUGGUGCAUACAAUGAGAAGCGAACUCGCGAGGGGAAGCAAAUCUCAAAAAGUGCAUCUCAGUCCGGAUUGG